CUGUACGGCUCCUGCAUUGUACACACUGUGCGUAUCUGUUAUGUAAGCACAGCGCAUACAAUGUGGAUGCCGUGUCA
Molecule: microRNA precursor, 77 nt
Filed under: Oncorhynchus kisutch (coho salmon)
Lineage: Eukaryota; Metazoa; Chordata; Actinopteri; Salmoniformes; Salmonidae
Also listed under: 3 other names
Description: mir-460 microRNA precursor family
Rfam family: mir-460 microRNA precursor family
Source: Rfam by way of RNAcentral